UGGCAGCGGCGGCGGCCGAAGCGCCGGUACCCGAUCCCGGCACAUCGCGGCCCCAGGCCUCCCUCUCGCUCGUCUAGCGGCUCAGCUGCCGCCCGGGCCAGAAGAGCGGCGCUCUGCGCUCCUCGGGACUUGUAGUCCUUCCCGUCCGCUCCUCACCGCGCCGCUGAGACGCUGGGACUACAAUUCCCAGCAGCCCUUUCGGCAGAGCGUUGAUUGGCGCUCCUACAGUCACUCUCCACUACAAUCACUGUUACUACUGGCUUCUCCCGACGCCCUGCGGGAGCCAAUCGGGAGACAGCAGACCACGCCUCGGGCCACACUGCGCCGCGCGGCGCCAUUGGAGAGAGGAAAAGCGUCGACCAAUAAGCGCUGGUAGAGGAGGGACGGCGAUCACCUCAGCUGCUCAGGAUUGGCUGAGUCCACAGGCAGCCUGACCAAUAGCGGCGGUGGGGUAUGUAUAAAUUCCACAGCGAGAGUACACUGCGGCCUUUCCAGGCGCGAGGACCUGUCGGGAACUGAAUCUCAGCGGCGUGAGGGGCAGCGAGAGCCAGGGGGUGCUCCCCUGAGGGCCCGGCACGCUUCCCCGGCUCCUCGCGAGCUCCGGGCUGGGUACGCGUGGCGGUGGUAGGGGAUGGAGGGCUGAGCGCGGCGCUGUGCGGCCCGCACCGCUUGGCGGCCUCCGUGUCUCCCCUGGGGCCGCCGUACCGGGCUGACCUCACAGCUUACGGAUUCAAUAAAGUUUUCUGACUCGAA
Gallus gallus (chicken) is the source of this 753-nucleotide long non-coding RNA. RefSeq lists it as uncharacterized. NCBI's taxonomy places the organism in Eukaryota, Metazoa, Chordata, Aves, Galliformes, Phasianidae. The transcript is spliced from 2 exons. The record is from RefSeq and is a predicted model, not a curated record.